RNAcentral lists this ribosomal RNA (1077 nucleotides) under Sordariomycetes sp. genotype 54. RNAcentral's name for it is "eukaryotic LSU rRNA". The stretch from base 499 to 1077 matches the Rfam family "Eukaryotic large subunit ribosomal RNA", at positions 1 to 592 of the family's 3401-position model. The record is from RNAcentral. Lineage: Eukaryota; Fungi; Ascomycota; Sordariomycetes.
GGAUCAUUACAAGAAGCCGAAAGGCUACUUCAAACCAUCGCUAACUCGUCCAAGUUGCUUCGGCGGCGCGGCACCCCUUAACGGGGGCGCCGCAGCCCUGCCUCUCCGGAGGUUCGGGGCGCCCGCCGGAGGUACGAAACUCUGUAUUAUAGUGGCAUCUCUGAGUAUAAAACAAAUAAGUUAAAACUUUCAACAACGGAUCUCUUGGUUCUGGCAUCGAUGAAGAACGCAGCGAAAUGCGAUAAGUAAUGUGAAUUGCAGAAUUCAGUGAAUCAUCGAAUCUUUGAACGCACAUUGCGCCCGGUAGUACUCUACCGGGCAUGCCUGUUCGAGCGUCAUUUCAACCCUCAAGCCCUGCUUGGUGUUGGGGCCCUACGGCUGCCGUAGGCCCUGAAAGGAAGUGGCGGGCUCGCUACAACUCCGAGCGUAGUAAUUCAUUAUCUCGCUAGGGAGGUUGCGGCGUGCUCCUGCCGUUAAAGACCCAUCUUUAACCAAGGUUGACCUCGGAUCAGGUAGGAAUACCCGCUGAACUUAAGCAUAUCAAUAAGCGGAGGAAAAGAAACCAACAGGGAUUGCCCUAGUAACGGCGAGUGAAGCGGCAACAGCUCAAAUUUGAAAUCUGGCUUCGGCCCGAGUUGUAAUUUGUAGAGGAUGCUUUUGGUGAGGUGCCUUCUGAGUUCCCUGGAACGGGACGCCAGAGAGGGUGAGAGCCCCGUAUAGUCGGCCACCGAUCCUUUGUAAAGCUCCUUCGACGAGUCGAGUAGUUUGGGAAUGCUGCUCAAAAUGGGAGGUAUAUCUCUUCUAAAGCUAAAUAUAGGCCAGAGACCGAUAGCGCACAAGUAGAGUGAUCGAAAGAUGAAAAGCACUUUGAAAAGAGGGUUAAAUAGCACGUGAAAUUGUUGAAAGGGAAGCGCUUGUGACCAGACUUGUGCCGGGCUGAUCAUCCAGUGUUCUCACUGGUGCACUCGACCCGGCUCAGGCCAGCGUCGGUUUUCGUGGGGGGAUAAAAGCUUCGGGAACGUGGCACCUUCGGGUGUGUUAUAGCCCGUUGCUUAAUACCUCCGUGGAGACCGAGGU